GACGAACGCUGGCGGCGUGCUUAACACAUGCAAGUCGAACGGACAGGCCCUGCUUUUGUGGGGUGCUCGAGUGGCGAACGGGUGAGUAACACGUGAGUAACCUGCCCUUGACUUUGGGAUAACUUCAGGAAACUGCGGCUAAUACCGGAUAGGAGCUCCUGCUGCAUGGUGGGGGUUGGAAAGUUUCGGCGGUUGGGGCUGGACUCGCGGCUUAUCAGCUUGUUGGUGGGGUAGUGGCUUACCAAGGCUUUGACGGGUAGCCGGCCUGAGAGGGUUACCGGCCACAUGGGGACUGAGAGACGGCCCAGUCUCGUACGGGAGGCAGCAGUGGGGAAUAUGGCACAAUGGGCGGAAGCCUGAUGCAGCAACGCCGCGUGCGGGAUGACGGCCUUCGGGUUGUAAACAGAUGUCGCCGGUGACGAAGCGUGAGUGACGGUAAUGGGUAAAGAAGCACCGGCUAACUACGUG
Molecule: ribosomal RNA, 468 nt
Filed under: uncultured bacterium
Lineage: Bacteria
Description: partial 16S ribosomal RNA
Rfam family: Bacterial small subunit ribosomal RNA
Source: RNAcentral